GUCUACAGCCAUAUCCCUCUGAACACACCUGAUCGUAUAUGAUUUUAGAAGCUAAGCAGGAUCAGGCAUGGUUGGUACUUCCACGGGAGAACACAUGCAUCUGAUGAAA
This 109-nucleotide ribosomal RNA is filed under the name Jaculus jaculus (lesser Egyptian jerboa). The record is from RNAcentral. Lineage: Eukaryota; Metazoa; Chordata; Mammalia; Rodentia; Dipodidae.